This 469-nucleotide unclassified non-coding RNA is filed under the name Hevea brasiliensis (rubber tree). The record is from RNAcentral. Lineage: Eukaryota; Viridiplantae; Streptophyta; Magnoliopsida; Malpighiales; Euphorbiaceae.
AUGAAGAUGGGGUUUCUUUGGGAACAAUGAAAUUGCCAAAAGAUAUUGAUCUUGCUAGAUUUGAAACCCUACUUUUUCAGUGGGCUAACAGCCUUUGUCAAGGAGCUAUGUUGCCACUACCGGUGCCUCUAAAGGUUGAUAAAAUUCCUCGCGGAGCCAGAGUUUGUUUCAUUUCAGUUGAUGAUGCUCAAACUGAAGUUCUUGCAUAUAUAGACUGUAUGGUUUUCCCUGCAACUGAGACUUCACCUCCAAUAUUUCGAGCCAUACGAAAUGGACCCUCGAGAGAUAAGGCGCCUCCCGGUGAGCCAAGAAUCAUGAGAAGCCUCUUAGGUGCCCUUCAGAAGUCUGUUGAGAUAGCUAGUGUUUGAAAGUUGGGAACAAUUUUUUGUAUAUUUUUACAAAACUUCUCUCUUUCAACACUCUUUUUUAUGUAUAAAGAACAUUUCACUUCUUUAAAACUCAAUGAAAA